Molecule: ribosomal RNA, 547 nt
Filed under: uncultured bacterium
Lineage: Bacteria
Description: bacterial SSU rRNA
Rfam family: Bacterial small subunit ribosomal RNA
Source: RNAcentral
UGGGGAAUAUUGCGCAAUGGGGGGAACCCUGACGCAGCCAUGCCGCGUGAAUGAAGAAGGCCUUAGGGUUGUAAAGUUCUUUCGGUAUUGAGGAAGGUUGAUGUGUUAAUAGCACAUCAAAUUGACGUUAAAUACAGAAGAAGCACCGGCUAACUCCGUGCCAGCAGCCGCGGUAAUACGGAGGGUGCGAGCGUUAAUCGGAAUAACUGGGCGUAAAGGGCACGCAGGCGGUUAUUUAAGUGAGGUGUGAAAGCCCUGGGCUUAACCUGGGAAUUGCAUUUCAGACUGGGUAACUAGAGUACUUUAGGGAGGGGUAGAAUUCCACGUGUAGCGGUGAAAUGCGUAGAGAUGUGGAGGAAUACCGAAGGCGAAGGCAGCCCCUUGGGAAUGUACUGACGCUCAUGUGCGAAAGCGUGGGGAGCAAACAGGAUUAGAUACCCUGGUAGUCCACGCUGUAAACGCUGUCGAUUUGGGGGUUGGGGUUUAACUUUGGCGCCCGUAGCUAACGUGAUAAAUCGACCGCCUGGGGAGUACGGCCGCAAGGUUA